Silurus meridionalis is the source of this 1762-nucleotide non-coding RNA. The record is from the annotation of a RefSeq genome assembly. Lineage: Eukaryota; Metazoa; Chordata; Actinopteri; Siluriformes; Siluridae.
UCACACCCUAUUUAAAUAGAGUCAGGUCUAUAAAGAAUGUUCUUGGCUGUGAUGAUUAUACAUUUACUCUGUGAGAUCUACACUGUGAAGCAGAAACUGCAGAAGGAUGAUUUUAGGAAAUUGUAUUUUGUUGGUAUUAAUUUCAUAUUCUUAUGGACAGACCCUGACCUCCUCUGCUUCUGUGGUGAAGAGACCUGGAGAGUCAGUCACUGUGUCCUGUACUGUCUCUGGAUUCUCAAUGAGCAGCUACUACAUGAGCUGGAUCCGUCAGAAACCAGGACGAGGUUUGGAGUGGAUUGGAUACAUUGAUGGUGGCACUGGCACUUGGUUCGCUCAGUCUCUGCAGGGCCAGUUCUCCAUCACUAAAGACACCAAUAAAAACAUGCUGUAUCUAGAAGUGAAGAGUCUGAAAGCUGAAGACACGGCUGUUUAUUACUGUGCACGAGACUCACACUGAUACAACAGACUGCAGAGCCGUACAACAACUUACACAAACACGUCCUCAUGAGCUGUAAAUAUUCCCUCAGCAGGAAACUGAACCCCACAGACAUUUAUUAUAAACAAAAGAGGUUUUAUUUCUUUUCUCUUCCUCCAUUAACAGUCAAAAUGCUCAAAAUUUCUCUGUAAAAUGCUCAGAUUUUUUCUUUUUAUUAUCUCUGGCUGGUGCUUAAAGCUGAAGACAAACCUGAAAGCAAAAUGAAAAAAAAGCAAAGACAUUGUUUAAACUAAGAUGUUACAGAUCUAUUAUAUCAGUGUGUCAUGAAACCAGGCUGAAUAUUCCACACUGUUUGAUAAAUUAACAAGUAAAUAGUAGUAGAUUUGAUAUUUAGUGAAUGUGGACAUGUUUUUAUGUUGGUAGGAAAUGCAGUAUGUCUUUACUUCUGCUGCAUCUUUAUGAAAAUCUGAACUCUGUCCUGCAAAUCAAAAUUAAUGUAAAAUUCUGGAGAAUAUUUAAUAUCAAAUCAUUAUUGUGAGUUAAUCUAUAUGUUCCAUUCCAUCUGUAAUUGAUGUGUAAAUGAAAAAAGUUGGUAAAGAGGUUUGAUCCUGUAUUUUUUAUUAUUAUAUCAAGCAUUUAAUAAAAAGUUAACAAUAAUAAAGACAUUUCUAGGUAUCUAAAUAAAACCAGAAUACUUUAUAAAGGGUUUUUCCAAGCCAAUGAUUAAAUUCAUUUAAAUUUUCUAGACUCUGUGUUUCCAAUAAAGAAAGCAGUUAAAACCUCUGAAACACUGACACUGAUAGACCAAUAGAACCGACUCUUACAGUCACAUUUCCACAGAGAACGUGAUUAUUGAAUACAAACACUACAUACACCAAGAAUUGAAAUAAAAAAUCAGUAUUGAAUGAAAUUGUAUCUCUGAAUCUUCAGGAUUUAAAUUGGAACUCUGUCUCAUCCCACCACCCUUUUACGGCGCCCCGUCCUGUGUUUUAUUUUUCUCGUUUAAUGUGGUUAUAAUCUAGUAUGCGUCCUUACUCACCUGAAAACAGCUAAAGGUCCAAACCUCCCCAUUCACACCUGUCUCAAGCUUCUGAUUUGCUGGAACAUAACAUCAAACAGGAAUGAUGGAAAUAUUUAAACCAUACGUGUGAAAUAUAAACUGUCUGAUUACUGCAUAUGUACAAUGGCAGAUUAGACAUUAGAGAGAUGGAUUUGUCUAUAUGAGAAAACAUCCCCAUCAAUUAUCCCCUAAGAUAAGGAGUGUCUUUAUGCAAAUGUCCUUCACUGUUAUAUAUUUAAGCAACACAGACCAAGAGCUUUUACUGA